UACGGGGGGGGCAAGCGUUGUUCGGAAUUACUGGGCGUACAGGGCUCGUAGGCGGCCACCUACGUCGGAUGUGAAAUCCCCAGGCUUAACCUGGGAACUGCAUCCGAUACUGGAUGGCUUGAAUCCGGGAGAGGGAUGCAGAAUUCCAGGUGUAGCGGUGAAAUGCGUAGAUAUCUGGAAGAACACCGGUGGCGAAGGCGGCCUGCUGGGCAGUAGCUGACACUGAGGCGCGACAGCGUGGGGAGCAAACAGG
This 253-nucleotide ribosomal RNA is filed under the name uncultured bacterium. RNAcentral's name for it is "partial 16S ribosomal RNA". It matches the Rfam family "Bacterial small subunit ribosomal RNA", at positions 524 to 776 of the family's 1533-position model. The record is from RNAcentral.